GGGGGGGGGGGGGGGGGGGGCGGGGGGGGGGAGGGCGGGGGGCGGCGGGGUGGGGGCGUGCGCUGACGGGUGGCGGGUGGCGGACGGGUGAGGAAUACAUCGGAGUCUACUUUUUCGUGGGGGCUAACGGCGGGAAACUUACGCUAAUACCGCAUACGACCUACGGGUGCAAGCAGGGGAUCUUCGGACCUUGCGCGAUUGAAUGACCCGAUGUCGGAUUAGCUAGUUGGCGGGGUAAAGGCCCACCAAGGCGACGAUCCGUAGCUGGUCUGAGAGGAUGAUCAGCCACACUGGAACUGAGACACGGUCCAGACUCCUACGGGAGGCAGCAGUGGGGAAUAUUGGACAAUGGGCGCAAGCCUGAUCCAGCCAUACCGCGUGGGUGAAGAAGGCCUUCGGGUUGUAAAGCCCUUUUGUUGGGAAAGAAAAGCAGCAGGUUAAUACCCCGCUGUUCUGACGGUACCCAAAGAAUAAGCACCGGCUAACUUCGUG
This 492-nucleotide ribosomal RNA is filed under the name uncultured bacterium. RNAcentral's name for it is "partial 16S ribosomal RNA". It matches the Rfam family "Bacterial small subunit ribosomal RNA", at positions 38 to 507 of the family's 1533-position model. The record is from RNAcentral.